This 741-nucleotide long non-coding RNA is filed under the name Anser brachyrhynchus (Pink-footed goose). RNAcentral describes it as "lncRNA (ENSABRG00000020193.1)". The record is from RNAcentral. Lineage: Eukaryota; Metazoa; Chordata; Aves; Anseriformes; Anatidae.
AUUUGUCAAGCAGCUGCAGAUAAACAGAAUUUUUUCUUUUUUCCCUCCAGAAACAGUGCUACACUUUAUUUUCCUCCCAGCAGACCCAAGUGUACCCCACACCAGCACUGUGUUCAGUGCCCUGGGAGCCAAGGGUGCUGGGGCAUGGAGGGUGUGAUCAGUGCCAUCACAGAUGUCCUGGGAAAUAAUGUAUAUAAUAACACAGCUGGUGUGGUGAUACACCUACAUUUGGCUUCUUUCCUCCCUCCUUGUAAGAAGUGCAGGUAACUGGAAGAACUGGAUUGUCCAACCUGCCCCAGUCUGAUGUUGUUUCCAAGAAAAACCUCCCAAACCUCCAAACAACCCAUGGGAAGAGUAAUUAAAGGAGUGGAUCAAGGAGCCCCGGGGAAGAUUACUCCCACAUGCACUUGGAAAGGUGUGCUGUGUCGUCUUGCAGUCAGGGGCUGACUGCAUCAUGAACACCUCUGUUGUAUUCACAGCCAUGCGUAGAAGUGAACAGAAAAGCCAGUUUGGCACAAAGAGAGUGACGGAGCAUGCCUCUUCUCCUGGGCUGCAUCCUCCAGCCACUGCUACUAGACCUGCAUCGAUUCACACGCAGCACCUAAGGAGGUGACCCAGUGACUCCUGGACGAGGAACCUGGCAAGAUUUUGCUCUCAGCUCCCUGGUGCCUCUCUGCCCACGUGAUUCUUUUGCUGUAGCUAAGAGUAAUUUGCAAUAAAUAUCUGCUCAGGUAUAAAACA